Molecule: ribosomal RNA, 253 nt
Filed under: uncultured bacterium
Lineage: Bacteria
Description: partial 16S ribosomal RNA
Rfam family: Bacterial small subunit ribosomal RNA
Source: RNAcentral
UACAGAGGUCUCAAGCGUUGUUCGGAUUCAUUGGGCGUAAAGGGUGCGUAGGCGGCGGGGUAAGUCAGGUGUGAAAUCUCGGGGCUCAACCCCGAAACUGCACUUGAUACUGCUUCGCUUGAGUACUGGAGAGGAGACUGGAAUUUACGGUGUAGCAGUGAAAUGCGUAGAUAUCGUAAGGAAGACCAGUGGCGAAGGCGAGUCUCUGGACAGUUACUGACGCUGAGGCACGAAGGCCAGGGGAGCAAACGGG